This 1978-nucleotide long non-coding RNA is filed under the name Triticum aestivum (bread wheat). Its description in RNAcentral is "long non-coding RNA (TAES_LNC010504)". Lineage: Eukaryota; Viridiplantae; Streptophyta; Magnoliopsida; Poales; Poaceae. The record is from RNAcentral.
UUUUUAUAUAAACAGGCUACAGUAUUCACAGCGAGAAUUAGGUGGGAGUACAGAAUGGCACAUCCAAAGGUUGUCCCCUUGAUCAGUAACCUCCUUAAAGCUCUCGCCUCUUGGUAAUAAAAGGGGGUGUCGUUUUGGCACCUGCGCACACUUGCUCCUGGUACCUAAUGGACUGCAAUUUCUUGAUUGGAGAUGUGUGCUAGAUGUAUUUUCGUGAUAUAUAUGUGAAUGCAGAAAAGCAAGGUGUAUAAGCCAAUCUAAUGCAGCAGACCAAACUCGCGAGGCAGGCUGUGAAGAUUGCUGUUAUGUUGCUCGUUUGUUUGACGGCUGGCGGUACUCCGAACUCACAUGGGCCAUCGGCCCAGGAUGUAGCAACCCUUAUGUUCCAUGGUUUCCAGCCUGUAACCGAGGGCUCUCUUCACAUUGGAUACUUCUCAUGUGCUACUAUUUCUUAGGAUGUGUUUGGUUCAGAGGCUAUCCCUCGGGGGACAGGGAUAUCCCCUUUUUAAAUGGUUGCCACCCGUUUGGUUUGAGGGAUAGAAGGGAUAAGGAUAGCCAUUAUUCCUGGAAUAUUCCCUAAAACGGGGGAUGUGCGGAGCCGCCGAAAUCUCGCGGGCGAAGCCAGCCACCCUUCUCGUCUCACGCCCGAAGCGUUUUUCUCUCGCUCUCACCCCUCUCUGGAACAGAAAACACUCCUGGAAACAUUAUCCUCUCGAUUCGCUGGUGAGCGACCACGCUGGUGAAUCGUACAAGUGGAAUGGUCGAGCCAUGAGCGGCGGCGGCGGCCGCGCUGCCAUGGUCGGACCCAGAUAGGCACACGCCUGCGGCCCCCACCCGUGCCCCGCCAAAUGGGAGCGCGCCGCCGGUGACUUACGAUGCAGAGUGGCGGCGGCGGCGGCUUCAGUGCCUCUGUCUUUGGGUACGUGAUGCCGGUUUUAUUCGAUCUUUGGGUACGUGAUGCUGGUUUUAUUCGAUCUUGAUAUGCGCCUCUGUUCUCGAUCUGUUUCUGGUGGGCGCAACAACUUCGAUUUGAUCUGGCGGGUGGCACCAGUUGCAUCAGGAGAAAAUGAGGAGAGAAAGUGGUACGAGCAGGAGAUGGCUGAUGAGCUCAAGCUCUUCUACACGUUCAACUAGUAAACCUCAAUUUGUACAGGGCAUUCGUGUACCAAUUUGCAUUCUCUGCUCUGAAUGUGCACUGUUCUUUCUGUCAUCUGAUAGGUUCUGAGAAUCGGCGAAGAUGCAGACCACAGAUGGAUCAGUUCACCUAUCACCAGUACUUGAUACAAAGAUUGUUGUGGUUGUGCACUAGUGUCUUCGAUAUGGAAUUAUUCGAUUAAAAUAAUGCAUGGUCAUCGCAGGAAUUUUUUAGUUAUCACCACAACGUAUCCAUCCCUCAGUCUCUCAAACCAAACACUUAAAAUGGCUAUCUCUAACCAUCCCACCCAACCAAACAAAAAAAGGGUUAUCCCUAGCCAGGUGGUUGGGGAUACCCUCAACCACCCAAACUUAUCCCGGGAACCAAACACAUCCUUAGUGUCUCGACUCUUUUCACAUAAAUGAAUUGGUGAAAGUCUGAACUUGCUGACAAAUCUGUAGAGUCCAUUUUUCUUGUAUUGACGACCGAGCCCAUCAGAGUUGUGUGUUGACAAAUUACAUGGUAUUUUCCUCUCAAAUAAAUUACAUGGUAUAUUAACUGUACAUGGUUUAAAACUUGUAUUGGUACAUGGUUCAAAAGUUAGUAUUAGUUGAUUGAGACACCUUUGAUGCAUUGGGCACAAAACAGAGUACUCCGAGUUACAAUGUAAACUGUGAGUUCCAUGCUUGUUGCUUUGAUUGAUUUUGACUAAUUAGCUAGUCAGUGGUAAUGCUUUUACUGCUUUCACACGCAUUUAGCAGGCCCUUGAUAGCUCAUGAGUGAAUUAACAUUUCUGAUGUGUACAGCCAUAUAGUGGGUACUAAAUCUGAAUGUGAACAUCAU